This 571-nucleotide ribosomal RNA is filed under the name uncultured Russula. Its description in RNAcentral is "eukaryotic LSU rRNA". The stretch from base 184 to 337 matches the Rfam family "5.8S ribosomal RNA". Lineage: Eukaryota; Fungi; Basidiomycota; Agaricomycetes; Russulales; Russulaceae. The record is from RNAcentral.
CUGCGAGGAUAUUAUCGUACAACGGAGGUGCGAGGGCUGUCGCUGUCCUUGUCGUGCACGCCCAGCCCUCUCACAUCCAUCUCACCCUUUGUGCAUCACCGCGUGGGUCCCCUUUGCGGGAGGCUCGCGUUUUCACAUAAACCGAGUGUAGAAUGUUUUUUUUGCGGUCACACGCAUCAAUACAACUUUCAACAACGGAUCUCUUGGCUCUCGCAUCGAUGAAGAACGCAGCGAAAUGCGAUACGUAAUGUGAAUUGCAGAAUUCAGUGAAUCAUCGAAUCUUUGAACGCACCUUGCGCCCCUUGGCAUUCCGAGGGGCACACCCGUUUGAGUGUCGUGAAAUCCUCAACCUCUUCUUUGGAAAAGGAUUGGACUUGGAGGUUUAUGCUCGCCUGUUUGAAGGCGAGCUCCUCUCAAAGGAAUCAGUGGGGUCUGCUUUGCUGGUCCUUGACGUGAUAAGUGUUUCUACGUUUUGGAUUUAGCAUCGUCCUGCUCCCAAUUGUCUCAUGGACAACGAUGGUUCACCGGACCCACCUUGACCUCAAUCGGGUGAGACUACCCGCUGAUAAGC